RNAcentral lists this ribosomal RNA (319 nucleotides) under uncultured eukaryote. Its description in RNAcentral is "partial 18S ribosomal RNA". It matches the Rfam family "Eukaryotic small subunit ribosomal RNA", at positions 1470 to 1796 of the family's 1831-position model. The record is from RNAcentral.
CCCUUAGAUGUUCUGGGCAGCACGCGCGCUACAAUGGUCUUCGCAAACGGAUGCAUUCUCGAAGGAGAAUGCCAAUCUUGGAAUCUAUGCCUUGGUCGGGACAGUUGCUUGCAAUUUUUCGACUCGAACCAGGAAUUCCUUGUAAUCGUGAUUCAUCACAUCACGAUGAAUACGUCCCUGCCCUUUGUACACACCGCCCGUCGCUCCUACCGAUCGAAGAGUUAGGUGAAUUGUUUUGAUCGAUAAGAUUUGACUAUGGUCCACUCUCGUUGUGAAAUUCUGUGAAUCUGACUGUUUAGAGGAAGGAAAAGUCGUAACA